GAUGUCUGGAAUAAAGCUUGAUCCGGGAACAAUGGAAGCUCUUUUACUUAGUGCAUUGCUCCCGGACCAAGCUUCAUUCCCAACAUC
Molecule: microRNA precursor, 87 nt
Filed under: Theobroma cacao (cacao)
Lineage: Eukaryota; Viridiplantae; Streptophyta; Magnoliopsida; Malvales; Malvaceae
Description: pre miRNA mir-166
Source: RNAcentral